Molecule: ribosomal RNA, 496 nt
Filed under: uncultured bacterium
Lineage: Bacteria
Description: partial 16S ribosomal RNA
Rfam family: Bacterial small subunit ribosomal RNA
Source: RNAcentral
AAUGAACGCUGGCGGCGCGCCUUACACAUGCAAGUCGAACGGCAAGACAGGAGCUUGCUUCUCUUCUAGAUUGCCGGAGUCGUGAGGAACACGUGUAUAUCCUACCCUUAAUAUUGGGGUAGCUUCUCGUAAUAGCAGGUAAUAUCGAAUACACUACGCCUAUCACAAGAGGUCUUGAGAAAAUGAAGCCUUGGCUUCGCGUAAGGACCGGUUUCCGUCGCAUUAGUUAGUUGGGGAGGUAAAGGCCCACCAAGGCGACGAUGGGUAUCCGGACUGAGAGGGUGAUCGGCCACACUGGAACUGAGACACGGUCCAGACUCCUACGGGAGGCAGCAGUUGGGAAUAUUCCGCAAUGGGCGGAAGUCUGACGGAGCGACGCCGCGUGGGUGAAGAAGGCUGUAGGGUUGUAAAACCCUUUUGUUGGGGAAGAAAAAGGGUGGGAGAAAAUGCUCAUGUGCUGACGGUAAUCAAAGAAUAAGCCCCGGCUAAUUACGUG